This is a small nuclear RNA of Suncus etruscus (white-toothed pygmy shrew), 107 nucleotides long. The record is from RefSeq and is a predicted model, not a curated record. Lineage: Eukaryota; Metazoa; Chordata; Mammalia; Eulipotyphla; Soricidae.
GUGUUCACUUCGGCAGCACUUAUACUAAAAUUGGAAUGAUACAGAAAAGAUUGACAUGGCCCCUGCACACAGAUGAAAAUGUGUUCCAAUGGUGACAACAGCUUAUC